UCAUCAUCAAAGUAUUUGGUAUGAGAGUGGCAGUCACAUCUAACUACAAAAGAGCCAUCUCCAUCAUAUUUCAACAAAAAACCAAAUACGUUGCCACAUGAUCCUGUGAUAGCGACAAUGUCUCACACUGCCACCUUGAAAGCCAAUAGUUGGACUGGAGAAUAAUGUCCUGGGUAUUGCCAAAUCUGUAACUAAAAAGUACUCUGAUGUUAUACAAAUAUUUAAGAAACUAAUAAUCAUGUAAUGAAGACCUUGAUGUUCUUCAGCCAAUAGCAAAGCUUUAGACUCCAGUGCUCAUUGUUGAGCGAGUGAGUGUGCUGCCAAAUUUAGGCCUUCUGAUGUUUACAAAGUUACCAUGGUAAAAAGCAAGAGAACCAACCUACAUUUGUUCAGGAAUUAAAGCAAUUAAAUGGUUUGGGGCACAUGUGAGUAUAGCUGCUCUGAAAAUGAGUGUCUUCACUGCUACAUUUGGAAAGUACUCAUUGCUUACUGCAUUUGGGAAGCUAGCAAGUAUGUGAUGCAACUGGCAACAUCAGUCAGAGAGAUCAUUCACCUCUGUUGAAUCAUUUAUUUCAAUAUAACAACACAACACCUUAUUAUGCUGAGCAUCACCACACUGAACUAAACUGAUCUAAAAUUAAAUCGAAGUCUUUGUGCAUGGUAAUGGAGGAUUAUAUUAUACAGAUACAUUACCUAAAUCGUUCGCCAGGCUGCUCAAGCGGUGGUGGUGUACAAACCGUAGAGUUGAGUUGUUGCGUGUGUGCGGGGAUUUGAUCGGUGGGGCGACCACGGCAUCAUCAAGCUGAAAAAAAUAUAACAGGCCCCUAACCGAGAAACAAUAGUCAUAUGAUGAAAUCUAUUAGCACCAUUCAAUCACGAAAAGAAAAGGCGUCAGAUGGUAUCUGCGGUUGCAUGAGAGGAAAAAAAAAAGGAAAUCCAAGCAGCAAUUGGAGCUCGGGCAGAGACCAAACUUAUAUCUAAUCCGACCGAGCUGGAGCACUGUUUGUGCCUACACAUGGACAGGAAAAAAGACCAAGACUUUGAUGCCUAUGGGUUCUUAAAAUUCUCACAGUGAAUUGGAUGGAGUAUAUAUCUAGUAGGAUCAAAUUAACUGAAUUAUUGGUUGUGCAGGAUUAAUCAAUUAACACUCAUCGUGGAUUGGAUGGAUGGAUAUAUCAAUAUCAACUAUGCACAAUAGAGAAAGGUCCGUCAAAAUAAACCAUGAAAUUACUGAAAAGUUUGUCAAUGCUAAUAAACACGAAAGUUCACCACCGG
This 1275-nucleotide long non-coding RNA is filed under the name Triticum aestivum (bread wheat). RNAcentral describes it as "long non-coding RNA (TAES_LNC001062)". Lineage: Eukaryota; Viridiplantae; Streptophyta; Magnoliopsida; Poales; Poaceae. The record is from RNAcentral.